GGUUUCUACCUUGGUCUUUGGUUCGUGUGCUUGUGGCCAUCAUGCGAUAAAUGAAGAAUGAAAUUGAGUCAGCAAAAGAGAAGGGCCAACCAUUGAAGAUAAGCAAAGCCCUCUAUGACAAACCAAAUCGGACACGUGUCCACCUGAUAUUUCAUUCUUGAUUUUCCUCAAAAUUACAACAGUUUUCGGUUCUUGUCUUCAAAGUGGUGGUUGGAAUUUUGAGCUUUGGUGCUUUCAAAUUGACAAAGUACCAACCUUUAUUCUCAAUUUUCAACAAGGCAAAAGUUUGCUUCAAGAAAAUUUUAAAAAAAAACAAUCAAUGGCGACUGCUUCUUCUUUGGGUUCAUCAACUCUGUUACAAUCCCAAAUUAGUGGAUUUGGCGGGAGUCAAAAGAUUUCUUUCUCCAACCCCAAUUCACUCACUUUCACCAGGAGGAGAAUUCAAACUGUGGUGACAGCUUCUUCUCGGGUGGAUAAGUUCUCGAAAAGCGACAUUAUUGUUUCUCCAUCCAUCCUUUCUGCUAACUUUUCUAAAUUAGGAGAGCAGGUGAAAGCAGUUGAGCAGGCAGGCUGCGACUGGAUUCAUGUAGAUGUGAUGGAUGGUCGAUUUGUUCCAAAUAUAACUAUUGGACCCCUUGUAGUUGAUUCCUUGCGCCCUAUCACAGAUCUUCCACUGGAUGUGCAUCUGAUGAUUGUCGAACCUGACCAGAGAGUACCUGACUUCAUAAAAGCAGGUGCUGAUAUUGUCAGUGUUCAUUGUGAGCAAUCUUCUACAAUCCACUUGCAUCGUACAAUAAACCAGAUUAAAAGUUUGGGAGCUAAAGCUGGGGUUGUCCUCAAUCCUGGAACCCCUUUAACCGCAAUUGAAUAUGUCCUUGAUGCUGUUGAUCUGGUGCUGAUUAUGUCUGUAAACCCUGGAUUUGGGGGACAGAGCUUCAUUGAGAGUCAGGUCAAGAAAAUCUCAGACUUGAGAAAAAUAUGUGCUGAGAAGGGAGUAAACCCUUGGAUUGAAGUUGAUGGUGGAGUUGGUCCCAAAAAUGCUUACAAGGUCAUUGAAGCCGGAGCCAAUGCCUUGGUAGCAGGUUCUGCUGUCUUUGGAGCUCCUGAUUAUGCUGAAGCUAUUAAAGGGAUCAAGACAAGCAAAAGGCCUGCAGCAGUUGCUGUAUGAGGUUCCGGCCUACUUGGUUCAAGUAGUCACAGCUGUUAAUACGGAAUUGUUUCUGUGAAACAUACAAAAUGUUUAUGUCACGUGUAUUUGCAACAGAGAGAUUUCUGUUAUCCAUAUAUGUUUUACAAGAGGAUCACUAUCAGUGGAUUGCAGUUUCAUCGUUGAGCUGUUUACGUUUCUAUGGAGUCCUUCCUACCAGUAGCUUUAUUUGCAUUUGACGCAGAUGAUAGUAGCAAAGCACGAAUAAACAUGGUUCACUCUGCAAUCUACACAAAGAGGAAAAAUAAAAUAGCAGAGGUUGUGUAAUACAAUAUGUUGUAUAACUUUCCUUUGCAUAGGGAACAAGAUGAUUCUGUACUGAAUAUCCAAUUUUCAAGAUGACACUUUAUAGAUGUUAA
Solanum lycopersicum (tomato) is the source of this 1566-nucleotide RNA transcript. It is a transcript of the gene named ribulose-phosphate 3-epimerase, chloroplastic, with no coding region annotated. NCBI's taxonomy places the organism in Eukaryota, Viridiplantae, Streptophyta, Magnoliopsida, Solanales, Solanaceae. The record is from RefSeq and is marked validated.